Molecule: ribosomal RNA, 254 nt
Filed under: uncultured bacterium
Lineage: Bacteria
Description: partial 16S ribosomal RNA
Rfam family: Bacterial small subunit ribosomal RNA
Source: RNAcentral
UACGGGGGGGAGCAAGCGUUGUUCGGAUUUACUGGGCGUAAAGGGCGCGUAGGCGGUGUGACAAGUCACUUGUGAAAUCUCCGGGCUUAACUCGGAACGGUCAAGUGAUACUGUCGUGCUAGAGUACAGAAGGGGCAACUGGAAUUCUCGGUGUAGCGGUGAAAUGCGUAGAUAUCGAGAGGAACACCUGCGGCGAAGGCGGGUUGCUGGGCUGAUACUGACGCUGAGGCGCGAAAGCUAGGGGAGCGAACGGG